CUUCUCCAGCAACGAAGCGCGCCGCCGACGAGCGAUGUCUAGCUCAACUUCGCCCUCCCGCCAAUCAUGGCCACAGUACGGUCCAGUGCCGUUGACAAGAUGCCCCGAUUGCCCACGCAUGGAGCCUCUGAAGCGUUUGACUUAUGUGAAGGAGGAAAAUGACAACCGUCGGUGCGAGUUCAUCAAAUGCUUGAGCAGGCCACAGCCGGGGCAGGUCCUGAAGAAAUGUGGACAUUUCGAGUGGCUCGAUGAGUACGUUGAGAGGUUGAAAAUGCAGGCUUCAACACAAGAGCUCAAUUUCAAUUUUGGGGGGCAGCUUGGUGUGCAACACGCCUCACAUUUGGUGGACAGAGCCGAUCCAUGAUAGACAAUGCUGAAGUGAAGUGUGAAUUGAAGAAAUUGGGCAAGCAACUAAAGCAGCGGAUCGAUUUGAAGCAGCAAGCAAAUAUGAUGACUGAAGCAUUUUAUUGGUGUGUCAUUGCCAUGGGUUUCUUUUACUUGAUGUUCAUCAAUCUCUAGAAAUUGUUACAGUUUCAGUUUGUGUGUCAAGCUAGUUUCAGAUCGGGGGUCCCUAGUUUCAGUUAUUGUGUCUAGCUAGUAGUUUCUGUUAUUCAAGGAUCAUUUGUUAGCUGAAUUUGAAUUUGUGUGAAGCAAAGCCUGAAUUCUGGUAAUGAUAUUAAGACCCAAUGAUAUUCUCAGUUACA
Aegilops tauschii subsp. strangulata is the source of this 704-nucleotide long non-coding RNA. RefSeq lists it as uncharacterized. The record is from RefSeq and is a predicted model, not a curated record. Lineage: Eukaryota; Viridiplantae; Streptophyta; Magnoliopsida; Poales; Poaceae.